AAUUCAGGAUCUGUCCUCAGGUAACUGUGUGGUCUCGUUUAUCAGAAAUAAUGGGAGACGUGUCAGUCGCGCGGAUUCAAGAGGACCAAGAUGGGAUAAUAAUCAUAGGGAAACUGAAGAUUGUGAACUGCAAGGAGAUGAUUCGGGCUCUGAGUUGCGGCGAUUCUCAUACCGGUUUACUGUCUGAAGAGGGCCGGGUUCUCUGCUUGGACAAAGCCAAUAUUCCCAGACCAUUGGAUAACCUAUGUAACCGACAGGUAACUCAGGUUGCAUGUGGAGACCAGCAUUCAAUUUCACUAACACAGGUUAAAUGACCAUGAACACACCACUAAUCACUCAAGUUUCACAAUACAACUUAACCAAAAUGGUCUAACCUUUCAACAAGUGUAAUCCUGUGCAAUGUUCUCACUUUGCUCUGUCCCUUUCUGGAGCUGUGUUCAGCUGGAGCAAGAACACCGCCGGGCAACUGGGACUA
Molecule: long non-coding RNA, 475 nt
Organism: Oncorhynchus tshawytscha (Chinook salmon)
Lineage: Eukaryota; Metazoa; Chordata; Actinopteri; Salmoniformes; Salmonidae
Exons: 3
Source: RefSeq, a predicted model, not a curated record